This 115-nucleotide ribosomal RNA is filed under the name Propithecus coquereli (Coquerel's sifaka). Lineage: Eukaryota; Metazoa; Chordata; Mammalia; Primates; Indriidae. The record is from RNAcentral.
GUCUAUGGCCAUACCACCCUGUACAUACCUGGCCUUGUCUGAUCUCAGAAGCUAAGCAGGGUCAGGCCUGUUUAGACUCAGAUGGGAGACCAAAGAGUAAGAGUGGUUAUUAAAU